This is a long non-coding RNA of Ceratitis capitata (Mediterranean fruit fly), 714 nucleotides long. RefSeq lists it as uncharacterized. The transcript has 2 exons. Lineage: Eukaryota; Metazoa; Arthropoda; Insecta; Diptera; Tephritidae. The record is from RefSeq and is a predicted model, not a curated record.
UCAAAUUAAGUUCAAUAUUUUCUUACAAAAAAUUUAAUUUAAAAAAAAAAAAGAAUUAAAAAAAGUACACCACUCAACAGUAAGAUAUGUUUACUGCCUUUAGUGUUGUGUAUUGUUGUGCCGCUAAGUGUUCGAGCGUUGAUGCUGCUGCUGCUGCUGCCCCAUAUUGUUCCUAUUGAAUAUUAUGGCCAAGUCCCCGGAGGUAAUUCAACACAACAAUGUAGCUACUGCUCAGGAUCUGCGCUUACCGCCGAUGAUGAGGCGGCACUGCUUUGCCGCUCUGCUAUUGCCACAGCCGUGAAGAUAUAAAGUUGCAGGCAGAAACAUUUCCGAAGUGCUUACCAUAGUGAAAGCUGGCAUUGAGGCAGAUUAAGUAACCACAACAACUGUGGCCCACAAUCGCUCCGGAGCACACGCUGUUGCCGCUUCAGCUUAUGCUUCUACCAAGAAGAACAGGAAUUGCCAUUGAGCAUCACUAGUAUAUAAAUAUGUACAUAUGUAUGUAUGUAGGCAGGGCAGUGAGUGUAGUGCGCUCGCAAAUUGUAAAAGUGCUCGAGUGUUAGUGUUCUUAUUAUAUGUGUUUACGUACAUUUGUAUGUAUGCGAGUUUGUUUCUUUAUAAGUUUAUCUGCUUGACGUUGAAGGACCUUUGACGAAUUACUUGCCCAUUCACUCAUUUUAUAUAAAAAUAUAUAUUUGUAUGUUUUUGCUUAUA